GCCGUACAGGCCAAAACGGUUGAGGCACCUGCCUUCCAAGCAGGGGAACCGGGUUCGAAUCCCGGGUACGGCU
RNAcentral lists this transfer RNA (73 nucleotides) under Actinoallomurus bryophytorum. It matches the Rfam family "tRNA". From Rfam's summary of the family: Transfer RNA (tRNA) molecules are approximately 80 nucleotides in length. Their secondary structure includes four short double-helical elements and three loops (D, anti-codon, and T loops). The record is from Rfam by way of RNAcentral. Lineage: Bacteria; Bacillati; Actinomycetota; Actinomycetes; Streptosporangiales; Thermomonosporaceae.